Molecule: long non-coding RNA, 1366 nt
Organism: Bos taurus (domestic cattle)
Lineage: Eukaryota; Metazoa; Chordata; Mammalia; Artiodactyla; Bovidae
Source: Ensembl
GUGGUUCAGCGAGCCGAGUGGUGGGCCCCAGGGCUGGGUUCUGGCUGAGUGGUGUUACACUCAGGUGUGAGCAGUCCCGGGGCGGGAGGGUCCAGGGCCCUUGGUGAUGUGGAAGGCAAGCCCUUGAGAAUGUUCGCAGGCUCAGUGUAUUUACGGGAUAUCAAUGUGUCAGAGCAGCAACCUCUUUAUGGGGAUAGUUUAAUUAACACUAAUUGCUCUUGGCCUAUUGUGUGACUGGAGCAGGAUUUACAGAACAUCACCGUAAUCUAAAACCCUAUAAAAGUCAUUGUCUUUAGAGGCCUUGUAACUCAUGCCUGGAAACAUCUUUGGAUCUUUGAUGCAUCACCCUGAUUGUGAAUGCUGCCUGUAUUUGCAUAAUUCUCAGAGGACCCCCAUCGCUCCUCCUCUGAGUGCCUGCAGGUUAGGGAGAGGAAGGGGCAGGCUUGAGAUCACGGUGACCAUGAUCCAUGAAGAACCCUGGCACCAUCAGAGGAAGCUCACGGGACACUUGCCAGUGACACGGACCUCUGCAGCCACCACUAACAGGGGAGGAAAGAAGGCAGCGUUGAGCGGGGGGGCCUGCCUGCCUGUGCCAAACCCACGUCUGAGAUCACAAGCAUUGGAGAAAAAGAACAAGUCUGUCUUGUCAACAUUGACCUUUGGCCACCUUGCCCCCUUGCUCACCACCCGCCUUGACCUUUCCUCUUAAUCUCUCCAUUUCCUUUCGUUUGAAAGGGAUGUAGGUGUGUUUUGAGCUCAUUCUCAUUCUGCUUCAAUUAAGUUCAACAGUAAUUUGCUUCCCACAGUUACUACCCUCCUAGAGGAGUUGGGCCUCUGAAACGUUCACACCUCAAAAUAUGGAAAAUCAUUCCUCAAGGUUUCUUUUCCUCAAUGAAUCUUCUCUUACUUUGAACUUUGGAAAUAAUCUCUUGCAUGGUUCAUGCCUUCCAUCUCCUCCCCAAUCACGGGGCAACAUUGCCUUGCUCAAGAUCAAAUACUACCCAUCUUCCCUGAGUUGGGUUUAUUUUUACUCUUGUUGUUUCUUGCAAUCUCAUUAAAUUCCUGUGACGUUAAGUAGGAUGGGUAUCCUAAUGCCUGCAUCACAGGUAAAGGAACCACGGUCAGGGAGCCUCUUUCAGGAAGCAGAACUGGGUUGAGAUGAGGACCUCUGGCUCCCUGUCCCCAGCCUUCGUGGGCGACAAGGGCUGGGUCUUGCUUUCAGGCAUGGUGGGAGCAGCGGCGCUGGCCCUCUGCUCAGCUUCGUCCUCAGUCUACCCAGGGAAAGCCAAGAUCAAGAGCCUCACUGACACUGCACCCCCUCUUGAGCUUGGUUUGCCAUCCUGCUGAGAGCUCGUGCCCCCAUGUG